UACGUAGGGCGCAAGCGUUAUCCGGAAUUAUUGGGCGUAAAGAGCUCGUAGGCGGUUUGUCGCGUCUGCCGUGAAAAUCCAGGGCUUAACCCUGGACCUGCAGUGGGUACGGGCAGACUAGAGUGCGGUAGGGGAGAUCGGAAUUCCUGGUGUAGCAGUGAAAUGCGCAGAUAUCAGGAGGAACACCGGUGGCGAAGGCGGAUCUCUGGGCCGUAACUGACGCUGAGGAGCGAAAGCAUGGGGAGCGAACAGG
RNAcentral lists this ribosomal RNA (253 nucleotides) under uncultured bacterium. RNAcentral describes it as "partial 16S ribosomal RNA". It matches the Rfam family "Bacterial small subunit ribosomal RNA", at positions 524 to 776 of the family's 1533-position model. The record is from RNAcentral.